This 286-nucleotide ribosomal RNA is filed under the name Bacillota bacterium. Its description in RNAcentral is "partial 23S ribosomal RNA". It matches the Rfam family "Bacterial large subunit ribosomal RNA", at positions 2638 to 2925 of the family's 2925-position model. The record is from RNAcentral. Lineage: Bacteria; Bacillati; Bacillota.
CUAUCUGUCGUGGGCGUAGGAGGUUUGAGCGGAUUGGUCCCUAGUACGAGAGGACCGGGAUUAACCGGGCAACGGUACGCCGGUUGUCGCGCCAGCGGCACGGCCGGGUAGCUGCCCCGGGAGAGGAUAAGCGCUGAAAGCAUAUAAGCGUGAAGCCAGCCGCGAGAUGAGACCUCCCAUCGGAAACGAGUAAGGGCCCCCCGAAGUCAGGGGGUCGAUAGGCCGGAAGUGCAAGCGCCGCGAGGCGCUCAGCUGACCGGUACUAAUAGCCCGAGGGCUUGAUUCC